Rhopilema esculentum is the source of this 2244-nucleotide non-coding RNA. The record is from RefSeq and is a predicted model, not a curated record. NCBI's taxonomy places the organism in Eukaryota, Metazoa, Cnidaria, Scyphozoa, Rhizostomeae, Rhizostomatidae.
UUGGCAUUUAACAACAGAAUUACAAGUCUUUCAAAAAUAAUUACAGACUGGCCUCGAAUAAAUAUUCUAUUCACCAUGAGCAAAUGAUAUCCUCUCAAUUAGGCCAAGUAUCCUCUCAAUUAAAUCAAUCAAUUAAAAUUAUUUCAAAUACAAAAUUUAUUGUCUACUAAACACCCUUUGCUAAAAAUUAUUCUGUAAUAAGGCUAAAAUUCCAUUUAAGAAAGACAAAUAUCAAAAUAUAUAUCAAUGUUGAUUGCUUAUGUACUUUCAUAUAAGUGAUGUGGAGUCAUAAUUCAAAAUUCAAAAGAUUUGAAUCCAUCCUAUUCCUAUUCAUAUCCCUGACUAAAUUGAGACACAAAACAAAACAAAUAUUGUGAAAUUAAAAUGUAACAAACAUUAAUGUAGAGGUGUUGCAAGUAAAUAUAGUUUAGACUGUGAGAAUAGUUCAUGAUAAAAGAAACACUGAGAAAAAGCUGAACAGUUCUAAAGUGAAAACUCACCAAAUUAGUAGAACAAAUGAACAAAUGACACAAAAGGCAAUCCAAUUGAGAAUGCACAACUAUAGAAACAAUGGAAGAUUAUAAGAAAAAAUGUAUGUAGCAAAAGCAAAUCAUUACUAAAAUUGAAAAAGUCAGCUUAUGGCAUUAAAGGGCAUCAACAAUUUUCUAAUAAGUAUUGGACUUGCAGGAACUUACAACAAUAAUUAUGGUACUGAUAUUAACAAAACUUAUUCAACACAGUUUAACUAUAUUUCCAUCAUCCUUCAAACAUACUACAAUAAACUGCCUAAGUAUGUACAAAUAAUAUAUAUGAUUAGAUAAUUAAUUCUUUGAAAUGAAAGAACAGAAUCAUACUACAGGUAAUCCUAUUCAUUUUCCCCAUUUAACUAAGAAGCAAUCACUGGAAUAUUCAGGCAUAGCAACUGCAAACAGUAUAUAUAUAUAUAACACGGGAGUGAUCAUUUAAUAUAUCCAUAUGAUAACAUUGUGUUGUCAAAGGCAAAGAUGAAAUGAGGCAAUCAGUGAAACAUGAAAGAAUUAUAAAAAUGAAAACUUACCAAAUAAAGAGAACCAAAUGGACCAAUAUUUGUCAAAGUAAAGAAACUGUAAUGAAAACCUAUAGAAAAAAUGAAAAAGUAUGACACAAUUAUAUCUAUUAUAUUAUAAUAAUAUGGUUUGAAAUUGGAAGAAUUGAAAAUGAUGAUUCUAUCUGUACAGUUUACGUUGAAAGGUGGUAAUCAUUCCAAUUAUCUUCAUAUUUCAAUGAUGGAAUUUGUCAAGUAGUAGAAACAUAUUCCUAAUGUAGCAACACUAUCAUGCAAAUCAGCCAUACCAAUGUUAUGACUUUAAAAAAACUAAUUUAAUAUAUAGCAGUUGACUCCUUAUGUAUAAAAUGUUCAAACACUGGUAGCAAUUGAUAAUAAAUAUUUCAAGAGAAUGUAACAUAUUAUCUUCCUAUUAAUGCCCAUCAUUAAAAAAAACAAAACUGAACACAUUUUGUCAAAUUAAAAUGCCAGCCACAAGAAUAUACAGCUCUAGCAAGUUCAAAUGUACUGUGAGAGUAGUCAAUAAAUCUCUCCAUAUGAUAACAAUGUGUUGUCAAACAGUAAAACAUGAAAGAAUUAUUAAAUGAAAACUUACCAAAUAAACAGAAGAAAACCAACCAAUAUAAGUCAAAUUAAGGAAAUUGAAAUGGAAACCUAUAGAAAAAAGAAAGAGUAUGAGAGAAAUGUAUGUAUCAAUAAGUAAAUUACAGGUAACCUUAAUUAAAGAAUUACAGUUAGAGGACAUCAAUCAUUCACUUGUCAAAAUUAUAUUUCAAGCAACCUUACAACAUUAAAUAUAUAAUAUCAUGAUAACUUCCAAUAACUAAAAUUCAACAUGGUUUGAAAUUGGAAGAAUUGAAAAUGAUGAUUCUAUCUGUACAGUUUAUGUUGAAAGGUGGUAAUCAUUCCAAUUAUCUUCAUAUUUCAAUGAUGGAAUUUGUCAAGUAGUAGAAACAUAUUCCUAAUGUAGCAACACUAUCAUGCAAAUCAGCCAUGCCAAUGUUAUGACUUUAAAAGAACUAAUUUAAUAUAUAGCAGUUGACUCCUUAUGUAUAAAAUGUUCAAACACUGGUAGCAAUUGAUAAUAAAUAUUUCAAGAGAAUGUAACAUAUUAUCUUCCUAUUCAUGUCCAUCAUUAAAAAAAAAACUGAACACAUUUUGUCAAAUUAAAAUGCCAGCCACUAGAAUAUACAGCUGUA